Gasterosteus aculeatus aculeatus (three-spined stickleback) is the source of this 1680-nucleotide long non-coding RNA. The record is from Ensembl. Lineage: Eukaryota; Metazoa; Chordata; Actinopteri; Perciformes; Gasterosteidae.
CUCCAUAUUCCGGUGAACGGAGCUGCUAAAACGAGAUGUUUCUACAAGGAGGUCUGGUGGAGAGGACAGAGACUCUCAUUAUGAAGGGAUGAGGACAGACAUGUUUAUUAUUCAGAGGACAAACGUAAUUGUAAUAUUACUAUAAUAUCAUGAUUAAUGACAUGUUUAUGGAUGCUGGAAGAGAUAUUGGAUCCCUGCUGUACGCGGAGAGAGGAGGUCAUCAUAUCACGACUCAGUCACACAGGUCUGAACUCAACUCUGUUCGUAAUGGCAACGAAACUGAAGAUGUGGAGCACGUCGUUACGAAGGGUCAAAAUACAAUAACGAAAGAAACCGAUUGGAGGCUCAAAUUGUCCACCGGGGACGGAAGUGGAGUGUGGAGGGAGUCGUGUCAGUGGAGCAGGGUGGGCCCGACUGCUUUAGACCCCUGAUGCGUCUCAUAGAAGAGACGGGACCAGGUCGUAGGAUCCAGGUAACAGCGGCAGGCUGAGCAAUAAACCCUGAACCUGCACACUCCGGUACAGCAGGUGGCGCGAUGCACCUGGUCACGUGACGCUGGUUGCGACCCGCCAGAACAAACCGGAAGAAGAAGAAGAAGAAGACGUGAGGGAGACGCGUAGAAAGUCACCAAGCUUCACUUUAACGUCUUAAAGUGUCACAUCGUAGCAGUUGGGUCUGACACCCCCUGCUCCUCAACACCUGCAGAACUUCUUUAGCUUUCAAGUCCAUGAAGGAUUAAACAGCCACAAACCUGCCAAGAGGAGGAAGUCCACCCAAACUGACAAGCAGGACCAGGAGACAAUGAAUGAGGGGAAGAUAGACGGAGCCAAAUAGAGGACAAGAGGACAAUGAGCCUAAACAUGCAGCCUGGGCUACAAUGGAAUAGUUCACAUCAAAGCAUUCAUGUUGUAAAACGGCCCAAAGCCCAAACCUCAACCACACCGAUUGGUUCUUAAAUGAGAUGAACAGUCAAACGUUUGGACACGUUUACUCAUUCGAUUCAAUGAGAAAGUGUCCAAACCUUUGGACUGAAUUGGGCUACAAAAACAUCUGUAAUAACCGAGAUCCAUUUAUAUUCACUAGCUAACGUUUCUUCAUAUGCUACCCCGCUAUACGCUGGAUCACUGACGCAUUUAUACCCUACAAACCUUCCAUUCCAGGACUUUUACUGUGAAAAUGUGCACUUCUGGUUUAGCUGCUGCGCUUCCAUUUGGCUUCAUAGGAAAAACCCAAAUUGGUGGUUUGUCAAUAACGUGUGAGCUCUGCCAGCAGGUUGGUGUGAAGGUGUGAAGGUGUGGACUCUGCUAUGAAUCAGGUUGAGGACCCAGAGGACGGAGUCCCUCCCUCUGAAGCCCCUCUGUGUGGGGAACAUGACAGCCAGACCAAAGCUCAGAGGAUCCAUCAGAGACCAGGACCUGGACCUGGACCCAGCUGUGUGUCCAUGAAGAGUAACCGGUCUAUGGAUCGUCCUGUAGCCUUCAAAGAUGUUGGUCCCUCUGUUGAUGCAAGGUGAGGGUCUCAGGCUGAUGAUGAGGGUCCUUCCUCAAUACCUGAGACGGAGAGAACGGACUCACAGGUACAAGAGAACGUUCAUUUCCACAUGUGGAACAGCAGCUGAGUUGUUUAUUGGACAGCAAGUCUGAUCUGAUAACUGAGAUAUUUUAGCUAAUUGUAUGUAUG